Molecule: ribosomal RNA, 492 nt
Filed under: uncultured bacterium
Lineage: Bacteria
Description: partial 16S ribosomal RNA
Rfam family: Bacterial small subunit ribosomal RNA
Source: RNAcentral
AGUGAACGCUGGCGGUAGGCCUAACACAUGCAAGUCGAACGGCGGCACAGUAAGAGCUUGCUCUUACGGGUGGCGAGUGGCGGACGGGUGAGGAAUACAUCGGAAUCUACUUUUUCGUGGGGGAUAACGUAGGGAAACUUACGCUAAUACCGCAUACGACCUACGGGUGAAAGCAGGGGAUCUUCGGACCUUGCGCGAUUGAAUGAGCCGAUGUCGGAUUAGCUAGUUGGCGGGGUAAAGGCCCACCAAGGCGACGAUCCGUAGCUGGUCUGAGAGGAUGAUCAGCCACACUGGAACUGAGACACGGUCCAGACUCCUACGGGAGGCAGCAGUGGGGAAUAUUGGACAAUGGGCGCAAGCCUGAUCCAGCCAUACCGCGUGGGUGAAGAAGGCCUUCGGGCUGUAAAGCCCUUUUGUUGGGAAAGAAAAGCAGCAGGUUAAUACCCCGCUGUUCUGACGGUACCCAAAGAAUAAGCACCGGCUAACUUCGUG